CGAAGCCUGACGGAGCAAUACCGCGUGAGGGAAGAAGGCUUUUGGGUUGUAAACCUCUUUUGUCAGGGAAGAAGAAUUGACGGUACCUGAAGAAAAAGCAUCGGCUAACUCCGUGCCAGCAGCCGCGGUAAUACGGAGGAUGCAAGCGUUAUCCGGAAUCAUUGGGCGUAAAGGGUCCGCAGGUGGCGAAUAAAGUCUGCUGUUAAAGACCGGGGCCAAACUCCGGAAAGGCAGUGGAAACUGAUUAGCUAGAGUACGGUAGGGGUAGAGGGAAUUCCCAGUGUAGCGGCGAAAUGCGUAAAUAUUGGGAAGAACACCGGUGGCGAAAGCGCUCUACUAGGCCGAAACUGACACUGAGGGACGAAAGCUAGGGUAGCGAAAGGGAUUAGAUACCCCUGUAGUCUUAGCUGUAAACGAGGGAUACUAGGCGUAGCUUGUAUCGACCCGAGCGGUGCCGAAGCUAACGCGAUAAGUAUCCCGCCUGGGGAGUACGCACGCAAGUGUGAAACUCAAAGGAAUUGACGGGGGCCCGCACAAGCGGUGGAGUAUGUGGUUUAAUUCGAUGCAACGCGAAGAACCUUACCAGGGCUUGACAUGUCGCGAAUCUGGCGGAAACGUUAGAGUGCCUUAGGGAACGCGAACAAAGGUGGUGCAUGGCUGUCGUCAGCUCGUGUCGUGAGAUGUUGGGUUAAGUCCCGCAACGAGCGCAACCCUCGUCCUUAGUUGCCAAUAUUAAGUUAGGCACUCUAGGGAGACUGCCGGGGACAACUCGGAGGAAGGUGGGGAUGACGUCAAGUCAGCAUGCCCCUUACGUCCUGGGCGACACACGUACUACAAUGGUUGGGACAAAGGGCAGCAAGCUCGCGAGAGUAAGCGAAUCUCAUCAAACCCAGCCACAGUCCAGAUUGCAGGCUGCAACUCGCCUGCAUGAAGUAGGAAUCGCUAGUAAUCGCAGGUCAGCAUACUGCGGUGAAUUCGUUCCCGGGCCUUGUACACACCGCCCGUCACACCAUGGAAGCUGGCUACGCCCGAAGUCGUUACCCUAACCCGGUUUUGGGAGGGGGAUGCCGAAGGUAGAGCUAGUGACUGGGGUGAAGUCGUAACAAGGUAGCCGUACCGGAAGGUGUGGCUGGAUCACCUCCUUU
This 1145-nucleotide ribosomal RNA is filed under the name uncultured cyanobacterium. Its description in RNAcentral is "bacterial SSU rRNA". It matches the Rfam family "Bacterial small subunit ribosomal RNA", at positions 377 to 1533 of the family's 1533-position model. The record is from RNAcentral. Lineage: Bacteria; Bacillati; Cyanobacteriota.